AGGAUGAUAUUGAGCCAAAGAUGACUUGCCGAUUUUACCGAUGGAUUAAUCUAAACUGAUAUUGGUAGUCGGCAAGUAGACUUUGGCUCUGUUUCCUUCUCU
This is a non-coding RNA of Brassica napus (rape), 102 nucleotides long. The record is from Rfam. NCBI's taxonomy places the organism in Eukaryota, Viridiplantae, Streptophyta, Magnoliopsida, Brassicales, Brassicaceae.